UUAAAUUUUUGAAGUUAUCUUAGCUUUUUUGUUGGGUGAAAUCAGUAUAAAGAGUUUCUCUUUCUUUUAAAAUUAAUAGGAAUUAAAAAACUUUGAUUUAAAACCAGGAUUAGAUACCCUGUUAUUCUAAGUUAUAUUUAGACAGGGUAGUAAAAGUUGUUCUUCAAACCCAAAGAUUUUGGCGGCACUUUAUCCAAAUAGAGGAGCUUGUCCCUUAAUCGAUAGUCCCCGUUUUAUCUUUCCUCUGUUUGUAGAGCUUGUAUACCGCCGUUGUCAGAUUACUUUUAGAGAAUGUUUUCAAGUUAAAAGACUUUUUUACUUCAGGUCAAGGUGCAGUUUAUAUAGAGGUGGAGGUGAGCUACAAUUUUCUUUAGAAAUACGGAUUUCAAGCCUUGAAGCUGGUUGAAGGUGGAUUUAUUAGUAAAGUAA
This 429-nucleotide ribosomal RNA is filed under the name Daphnia dentifera. RNAcentral's name for it is "partial 12S ribosomal RNA". Lineage: Eukaryota; Metazoa; Arthropoda; Branchiopoda; Diplostraca; Daphniidae. The record is from RNAcentral.